Molecule: non-coding RNA, 3988 nt
Organism: Sus scrofa (pig)
Lineage: Eukaryota; Metazoa; Chordata; Mammalia; Artiodactyla; Suidae
Source: RefSeq, a predicted model, not a curated record
UCUUGGCUAUUUGCCUCUCUUUUUACUCAAAGUCUGACUGCUACACUGUAUUGCUGGCAAUGUCAGUUUUCCUCAAUAACAAAGACUUCCCAGUUCAGAACAUCUACAUAUGCGGCUAAUAGGAAAAGUGAGUAAAACUCCAACAUGAUAAACGGGGAGGUAUGUCAAACUCCUAUUCAGGCUAUGAAAAACCUACUCAUAAUUCUAACUUCCCUCCUUUAAGUAUGGAGAGAAGGCAUAGCUCAUUUGGAAAAUGUGACCAAAAGCCCACAUUUCAACACAGUGAAAUGCUUUAUCCCCUUUUGCUUCUACCACACCAGGAACUUUCUAUAUGUAAUUAUUUAAUCCCCAGCCAAAACCUGGUGGACAAUGAAAUCCCCACAAAAUGUUUCCCCUAGUGAAGUGUUCAGACCUCAGUUCCACAAAAAACAUUUCUAAAAGCUUUUCAUGUAAUCUUUCCAUGCCAAUUUUUUUUUUCAAUCAUGGCUAAAAAUCUCCAUAUUUGAAUAUUCAUCAUUAUAAGCAUCUGGUAAAAUAUAGCCCUGUCCAGCAUUUUACAUCAUUUGACUACAAGACCACAGAAGGGCAUAGGUAAAAAUUUCCAGUUUCAUUCGAUUUGUACUUUUAACCAUCUUUUUCCAUUUCGCGGCUUUGGGUGCCUUUGAUUGGGCUGAGAUUUUCUGCUAUCCGUUAUUAUCAGAUUUUUUUUUUUUUCCAAAUAAGCAGGUUGCUUUCAGACAAGUCCUUGUGGAUUUCAUCAGGGACUCGCUUGGAACAUCAAAAUGAGGCCACAAAUCACUUGGGUGUUUACAAUGCCUUGUGGGGUUUGCCUUAGACCAACAGUAAAGUUCACAGUGAUAAUGGCUGCAGAACAAUGCGAAUGUUCUUCACGCCACGCAACUGUACAUAUAAAAAUGGCUGAAACUGUAAAUUUUAUGUUAUGCAUCGUUUACUACAAUGUAAAGGCAGGAGGUACCAAUUAUCCCAAACCCUAGGUCAAAACGGGUGGGGGGUGGGGGGCAUGAGGGGGUGGGAAGCAGAAGGAUGAUCUCUAUUGUUCAGACAGAACAAAAUGGCUUUUACUUUCUAGUUCCAAGAGGCCUCUUAGCCAGGCUCUCACGCCUGUUAUUUUCCUCUAUGGAGUGGAGUGAGAAAAGAAACCAUUGCCAAAUAAAAUGUAAACCAGAAAAGAAAUGUUAAAUCAUAGAACCAUAACCCUUCAAGGACUGGCUUCUAAUGUCAUCCAUUCGUCAACCGCUCCCAGCCUUUGAGUUAACUCCUCCACUCUUUUCUCACAGGAACAGUGAACAGGUGUCCCGUGUGAGUGUGGAUAUGUUUAAUUCUAGACAGCUGUCAGAAUGCAACUCCCAAGAGGGCUGUUCUGACAACUUGGAAGUAGGACAUUUAAAAAAACAAAACAAAAAAACCCAUGAGAUAGCAGAUGAGAAACUGGGAGUGGGGGGGCAAACAAGGAGAAUCAGCGGUGAGCAGACGAGCAGUCUUCCAAUCUCCUAAAAGACACCACGUGGUGGGCUUCUUUUGAAAAGCAGGAAGAAAUAAAACCAGUGGGAAGGGUUACAAGGAGACAGUUUUACACAGUAUUCCGAAGAAACUUCUAACCAUCUAGAAGAAGGCUAUUACCGUCAGAUUGACUGACUGCCUAGAGAUGUUCCAUGCGAGGUGCUGAAAGAGGCCAGCGAGCCGGGAUGCCGCAACACCGCCCCGGUGUAGAAGCAGGCGGCGUCGGGCGGCGCGGGAGGGCGCGGGGCGGCUGCUGCCCGCGUGGGGCCCGGACCCGGACUGGGCCACUGUUCCACCGCGAAGCGCGGCGCCAGGAAGCGGCCGUCUCUCCGGAGCAGCAGGUGCUGUAAACGUGCCUUUGCAAAUCUACACUCAUUAGAGGAAAACUAAGCAUUUCACGAGGUUAAAAUGAGGCCGCGAGAAGUGCGCUUCUCUCGCUAGGCGACCCUCUCUUCCGCACCCGCACGCUGGUUUUUAUUGCUACCCUCCGAAGCCCGCUCACCGCGCACAGCUGCACCAGCCCUGCCAACCCGUGCGUUCCGGUACUCUGCUGGGGAAGUUGCAAAGCCAGUCGAAACUCACGGAAGAACUUACCUGAGACGACCCCAUUCGACAGGACCCCCAGCUGGUAAAGGAGGCAGCAGCAGCAGAUGAGUUUCCGGAGCCCCACAGGACAGCCCCCACAGUCAACGGCAGUGUUGCCUCGGGACUGGUGGAGGACUGCCCCGUGCGGGCAGGAGCGCCGCGGUGUCCGAGCCGAGGCUCGCCGCCUGCACCCGCGCGGAACAGGCAGAGGCUGGUGCCACGGUCCCGGCUGCCUCGCGUGCCAAGCUCGCACCCUCCUCUACCGGAGUGCUCCAGGCUCCUACCCGCAGCAGCGUGGGAGACAAUUUGUAAGGGGUUGAGGGGAAGACAAGACUCGUGGGGUGGGGUGUGGAGAAGAAAAGAUUCCAGAGGAUCCGACAAGAAAAAGGGAGCAAGGGGUGCCCGCCAAGAGUGACUUUGCGGGACAAAGGUCCCAGAACACCGCACACGUGCUCACACGCCCGGUUAGGGUGGGGUGGAGAAUCCCAAGCCCCUCACCUGACUCCUGAUUGGCCACUCCUGGAGGCCGGAUUUGCAUCCUUUGGGAGGGGGCACCCCCUCCUCCCCACUGAGGUGUGUGCAGGUAGAAGGGCCUUCCUCUCCCUACCUCACCCCCUUACUCGGGUCCCUCCUUCAGGGGAGUUCUCCCCCCAUCUACACACCACACAGAGCCAAACAGUGCAGAUUUGAGCACAAAGCAACAGCCAUUUACCAAAGACCUUUGAUUUUCCUUCCCAUCUUUGUCUCCAGGAAUUUUCUAAGCCUGGAGAUAAUGUAAUUCGUCAUGGAGGAUGCUUCAGAGGUUCCCAGGACAGUAGACACCUGACAUUUCAGAGCCCCUUAUCCCACCUUAUCUUUCCCACCCCCAUUCAUCAGUGCUAUCAAUUUCAAACCCCCCCGCCCGCCUUUCUCUAAAGCACCCCCCCACAAAAGUGAUAAAUCACACACACACACCCCUAAUGAGGGUGAGAUUAAGCAGAACGGCAUUAAAUAUUGUAUUCUGAAGAUCUCAGGUCAAAUGAGAUUAUUGUGCCUUUUUAACUUUUUUUUUUUUUUUUGCAACUUAAAAAAUAGGUUUUUCCUAUUUUUGUCUUCUGGGGAAAUUCAACCAUAAAUAUUCUUGCUUCCUCUGUUGCAGCUCUUCACAAAUACCUACUCCCCUUUCCACACUUCUUUCUCAGCCACAUCCAACCUUUCACAUCAGACUCAGGGGUCUUUGAUCUCACCUGCCGUUUGCAUCCUCUGGACUAGUCUGGACACCUAGAAAUAAGAGUUGAUGUAAAUCAGUUUUAAAAAAUUCCAGCACUGAAGUUGGGUCACUGCAUCCUUUGUUGUUUUACCUUCUGUCCCUCGUGUCAAAGGUGAAUGCUAUGCCUUUAAGGGAGGCAGAUGAUCUAAUUUCAAAGGAAAGCUAUUGUUUGAAUAAGCUGAGUCCUAGAAUACUUCGAGUGGUCCAGAGUUUAAAAACAAAGACACUCUAGGUGUGUCUGUCUCCAAACCUUGUCUUGUAAAAAUCUAUAAAACUGGAGUAACUAGGGUGGGUGUGGGUUUCCAGACAGUCAAGAAAUAUCUGUGUUACUUAGGAGCCUACACCCUCCUUUUUAUGAGACUCAAUUAUACAGAGUGAAAACUAGACAAGAAAUCAGAGGCAGUUUAUUUUUAAGAAAUAAAGCAAAUUUUUAAGACAGAUGACUAUUUUCAAUGAAACAUCUCCACAAGGAUUUGGGUCUUAAAUAAAAUGUUUCUUGUGUAAUUUUAACAAUGAAGACAACAAAAAUGUAAAACUGUAGAAGGAAUGCAUAUUGAAUUGUAUGUAUUUAUGGGAAUAAAUUUGUGAUUCCUUUAAACUAGAUGAGCCUAUGAUUAAAUAUGCUUAAAAUCA